GGAUUGUGAUAUGGACCUCCCUCCCUCCCUCACUCCCUGCCUCCGCGUCUGCCGAUAAGAGCAAUGUGAUUUAUUAUUUUAGGGUGUGUGUGUGAAGUAGGGAGCGAUGGAUAAUAUGUGGAGCAGAGAAUUUUUCUUAUCACCGUCGACGUUGUGGAGUGGAUACACCCUUGCUGUUGUAACCCUAAUAUUUGUGUGGCAGAUCGCCCCCAGAUUCUUCUUGAGGAGGACCUCGGAAUCCAACAAUCCCCUCGUUUCCAUUGCAUCUCCAUCCCAACAAAACGGCAGAAUAUCAGAUGUCAUUACUGAUUUGGAUCUUAAACUUCUGAUGGAAAAUCUGGAUGAGCCUCCUCCUGUGCUUCAAAAUAACAAGUGGGAGAGUGUUGUCGAUAAAAGAAAUGAUUCACUCUCUUACUCUGUCAAGUCUUGCAAACCCAAGGAUGGUGGGCCACUCAAGUAUUUAAGUACAACGACAUUCAAUGAUUGUUCUCGUGAGACUUUGAGAGACUUCUACAUGGAUAAUUCUUAUAGGAAGGAGUGGGACAAGACCUUGAUUGACCAUGAGCAGUUGCAGCUGGAUGAGAGUAAUGGAACUGAGUUUGGACGCACAAUAAAAAAAUUUCCCCUCUUGACCCCAAGAGAGUACGUUUUAGCCUGGAGGAUCUGGGAAGGAAGAGAUGGAACCUAUUAUUGUUAUAGUAAGGAAUGUGAGCAUCCUUCAGCUCCAAGACGAAAGAAGUAUGUACGGGUUGGUCUUUUUAGAUCUGGCUGGAGAAUUAGGGAAGUACCUGGUAGAAAUUCAUGUCAGAUCAAAAUGGUUCACCAAGAAGAUGCCGGGUUGAAUGCUGAAAUGGCAAAAAUGAUCUUUGCCAAAGGCAUAUGGAGUUAUGUGUGUAAGAUGGAUAAAGCUCUUCGGAAGUAUUCUGCCGUCAAACGUAUUCAGUUGACUGCAACUGUUAGUGCAAUCACUUUUGUUCAGAAAGUGAGUGCUCUCGUUAAUUUUGAAUGACUUGUGAAAUGUGGCUAGGCGGUGUUUGGGAAUACAUUUACUGAUUGAUUAAGAUUAUUGUGGUUUUCAAAUCAUUUUUGAGUGUUUGGGUGCUUAUCCAAAACUGGCUGUUGGUCAUCUUAAAUCAUUAGAAUUUCCAAACAUCUGAUUGUUGUGACAUUAAUCAAAACAGUAGAAGCACAUCCUUUAGCAGGUCAUUUUGGUACCACUUUCAUUGGAUUCCACUGGCGAGAGGGCUGAUCCAGAAGUCUCGGUCUCUGAAGAGUGCAAUAAGAAAAAACUGUCUAGAAAGCCUUCAAAGAAAGUGAUAGCGAACGGGUUGAUCAUUGCUGGUGGUGUGAUCUGUUUGGCUCGUGGACACACCAACUUCAGUGCAAAGGUUGCAAUGGCAUACAUAUUAAGUAAGUUGACAAAGCGUCGUGAAACUUCUUUGCACUAGGGAGGGGGCAUGUAAAUGCUUUUUAUGGAGAUUUGAUAUGCCAAUACAACCGAAUAACACAAGCCAUGUAAAUUAAAAUCUUAAUUGCUAUUCAAAAGGAAAGGUAGUAAGCUACACUCCUAAGAUUUACUGCUGCUGUAACCAUUAUAAUUGAUAUCCAACUCUCGAAAGAAAGAACGAGGGAAAAAGCAAUUUAAACUUUUGUUUGUUGUCA
This is an RNA transcript of Helianthus annuus (common sunflower), 1662 nucleotides long. RefSeq lists it as uncharacterized. The transcript has 6 exons. NCBI's taxonomy places the organism in Eukaryota, Viridiplantae, Streptophyta, Magnoliopsida, Asterales, Asteraceae. The record is from RefSeq and is a predicted model, not a curated record.